GGGGACUGGAGUUGGGCUGUUGGGGGUAUUGGAGAUCUGGAGUUGGGCUGUUGGAGGGACUGGAGGACUGAAGUUGGGUUGUUGGGGGUACGGAGGACUGGAGUUGGGCUGACUGGAGGACUGGAGGACUGGAUUUGGGCUGUUAGGAGGGUUGGAGGACUGGAGGACUGGAGUUGGGUUGUUGGAGGACUGAAGGACUGGAAUUGGGCUGUUGGCGGUACUGGAGUUGGGCUGUUGAGGGGACUGGAGGACUGGAGUUGGGCUGUUGGGAGGACUGGAGGACUGGAGUUGGGCUGUUGGGAAGACUGGAGGCCUGGAGUUGGACUGUUGGGAGGACUGGAGUUGGGCUAUUGGAGGUACUGGAGGACUGGAGUUGGGGUGUUGGGGGGACUGGAUGACUGGAGUUGGGCUGUUGGGGGUACUGGAGUUGGGCUGUUGGGGG
Long non-coding RNA from Oncorhynchus tshawytscha (Chinook salmon), 442 nucleotides. The record is from Ensembl. NCBI's taxonomy places the organism in Eukaryota, Metazoa, Chordata, Actinopteri, Salmoniformes, Salmonidae.